CUCAGGACGAACGCUGGCGGCACGCCUAAUACAUGCAAGUCGAGCGAGUGAAGCAUUUUGAAGCCUUCGGGUGGACGAAUGCGGAUCGAGCGGCGGACGGGUGAGUAACACGUAGGCAACCUGCCCGACAGACGGGGACAACCCCGGGAAACCGGGGCUAAUACCGGAUGCACUCUAGUGGCGCAUGUCACAAGAGGAAAGAUGGCCUUGUGCUAUCACUGUCGGAUGGGCCUGCGGCGCAUUAGCUAGUUGGAGAGGUAACGGCUCCCCAAGGCGACGAUGCGUAGCCGACCUGAGAGGGUGACCGGCCACACUGGGACUGAGACACGGCCCAGACUCCUACGGGAGGCAGCAGUAGGGAAUCUUCCGCAAUGGGGGCAACCCUGACGGAGCGAUGCCGCGUGAGUGAGGAAGGUUUUCGGAUCGUAAAACUCUGUUGUGAGGGAAGAGGUCUCCGGGUUCGAAUAGGGCCCGGAGGUGACGGUACCUCACGAGGAAGCCCCGGCUAACUACGUGCCAGCAGCCGCGGUAAUACGUAGGGGGCAAGCGUUGUCCGGAAUUAUUGGGCGUAAAGGGCACGCAGGCGGUUUGUUAAGUCUGAUGUGAAAGCCCACGGGCUCAACCCGUGGGAGGGUCAUUGGAAACUGGCAGACUUGAGUGCAGGAGAGGAGAGCGGAAUUCCACGUGUAGCGGUGAAAUGCGUAGAGAUGUGGAGGAACACCAGUGGCGAAGGCGGCUCUCUGGCCUGUAACUGACGCUGAGGUGCGAAAGCGUGGGGAGCGAACAGGAUUAGAUACCCUGGUAGUCCACGCCGUAAACGAUGAGUGCUAGGUGUUAGGGGUUUCGAUACCCUUGGUGCUGAAGUCAACACAAUAAGCACUCCGCCUGGGGAGUACGACCGCAAGGUUGAAACUCAAAGGAAUUGACGGGGGCCCGCACAAGCAGUGGAGCAUGUGGUUUAAUUCGAAGCAACGCGAAGGACCUUACCAGGGCUUGACAUCCUCCUGCCGCAUCUGGAGACAGGUGUUCUCUUCGGAGCAGGAGUGACAGGUGGUGCAUGGUUGUCGUCAGCUCGUGUCGUGAGAUGUUGGGUUAAGUCCCGCAACGAGCGCAACCCUUGAUCUUAGUUGCCAGCAAGUGAAGUUGGGCACUCUAAGGUGACUGCCGGUGACAAACCGGAGGAAGGUGGGGAUGACGUCAAAUCAUCAUGCCCCUUAUGUCCUGGGCAACACACGUGCUACAAUGGGCGGUACAACGGGAAGCGAAGCCGCGAGGUGGAGCCAAUCCCCAAAAGCCGUUCUCAGUUCGGAUUGCAGGCUGCAACUCGCCUGCAUGAAGCUGGAAUUGCUAGUAAUCGCGGAUCAGCAUGCCGCGGUGAAUACGUUCCCGGGCCUUGUACACACCGCCCGUCACACCACGAGAGUCUGUAACACCCGAAGUCGGUUGUGUAACCUUCGGGAGCAAGCCGCCUAAGGUGGGACAGAUGAUUGGGGUGAAGUCGUAACA
This 1506-nucleotide ribosomal RNA is filed under the name Marinimicrobium sp. ABCh4. RNAcentral's name for it is "16S ribosomal RNA". It matches the Rfam family "Bacterial small subunit ribosomal RNA". Lineage: Bacteria; Pseudomonadati; Pseudomonadota; Gammaproteobacteria; Cellvibrionales; Cellvibrionaceae. The record is from RNAcentral.